AGUGAACGCUGGCGGUAGGCCUAACACAUGCAAGUCGAACGGCAGCACAGUAAGAGCUUGCUCUUACGGGUGGCGAGUGGCGGACGGGUGAGGAAUACAUCGGAAUCUACUUUUUCGUGGGGGAUAACGUAGGGAAACUACGCUAAUAACGCAUACGACCUACGGGUGAAAGCAGGGGAUCUUCGGACCUUGCGCGAUUGAAUGAGCCGAUGUCGGAUUAGCUAGUUGGCGGGGUAAAGGCCCACCAAGGCGACGAUCCGUAGCUGGUCUGAGAGGAUGAUCAGCCACACUGGAACUGAGACACGGUCCAGACUCCUACGGGAGGCAGCAGUGGGGAAUAUUGGACAAUGGGCGCAAGCCUGAUCCAGCCAUACCGCGUGGGUGAAGAAGGCCUUCGGGUUGUAAAGCCCUUUUGUUGGGAAAGAAAAGCAGCAGGUUAAUACCCCGCUGUUCUGACGGUACCCAAAGAAUAAGCACCGGCUAACUUCGUG
RNAcentral lists this ribosomal RNA (491 nucleotides) under uncultured bacterium. RNAcentral describes it as "partial 16S ribosomal RNA". It matches the Rfam family "Bacterial small subunit ribosomal RNA", at positions 29 to 507 of the family's 1533-position model. The record is from RNAcentral.